UGCGGAUCCAUGGGUCCCAGAUCCAUGGGUCCCAGAUCUAUGGGUCGCGGAUCCAUGGGUCCCAGAUCCAUGGGUCGUGGAUCGAUGGGUCCCAGAUCCAUGGGUCCCAGAUCUAUGGGUCAUGGAUCUAUGGGUCCCAGAUCCACGGGUCGCGGCCCUAUGGGUCGCGGCUCCAUGGGUCGGGGCUGCCCGUGCCCCUGACGUGUGGGUCGGCCGUGGGUCCCAGGGAGAACUCGGCGGCGCACGCCCAGCGCCUGGGGGAGGUGGCGGCCGCCAUCGCGGGCAGCGGCACCUACGUCCUGCGGGGGCCGGAGCUGGUGUUCGGGGCUCGAACGGCCUGGAGGAACGCGGGGCGCUGCGUGGGGCGCAUCCAGUGGAACAAGCUGCAGGUGUUCGACGCCCGGGACUGCACCAACGUGGGGCAGAUGUUCGGGUUCCUCUGCUCCCAC
This 449-nucleotide long non-coding RNA is filed under the name Calidris pygmaea (Spoon-billed sandpiper). Its description in RNAcentral is "lncRNA (ENSCPGG00000011594.1)". Lineage: Eukaryota; Metazoa; Chordata; Aves; Charadriiformes; Scolopacidae. The record is from RNAcentral.